UCAAAAAAGAAAGCUUUCUUCCUGCCUUGAAAAUUCUCUUUGAAAUCCAGAUGUGAUUUCGCCAUUUUGAAGCUCUAUCUGCAAUACUGUAACUGCAAGUAACAUGAAGUGGAGCAUGAUUUGAACCCUCCCUUAUCAGUCUUGCUCUAUUCUGCCAUUCCACCAGGUGCAACAACUUCCAGAGAAUUUUAUCUCAUUUAAGGCACAAGAAUUUAUGCAUUGGACAAAAUCCUCAACUUCUGCUUGUGAUACAGGUAAUCCUACCAACUUUUUUGAUUCAUCAGUAAUGGUAUUCAAAUCUCCCCUUACCAUCCAAGAACAAUUUGUAUGGCAAGCAAUCUCCUCAAGGUCUUCCAACAGUUCCAAUCUCUCUAUGGCACUACAUCUAGCAUAGACUACUGUAAUUUUGACAUGAGCAUUGUUGUCUCUGUGUUUGGAAGAGACAGUAAUCUGUUGUAAUGAGUCAAAGCACUCUUGCUCCUCCCACUCUUUAUCCCAAAACAACCA
This is a long non-coding RNA of Solanum tuberosum (potato), 507 nucleotides long. RefSeq lists it as uncharacterized. The record is from RefSeq and is a predicted model, not a curated record. Lineage: Eukaryota; Viridiplantae; Streptophyta; Magnoliopsida; Solanales; Solanaceae. The transcript is spliced from 3 exons.